This is a non-coding RNA of Massarina eburnea CBS 473.64, 110 nucleotides long. NCBI's taxonomy places the organism in Eukaryota, Fungi, Ascomycota, Dothideomycetes, Pleosporales, Massarinaceae. The record is from the annotation of a GenBank genome assembly.
GGUCCCGUGGUGUAGUGGCGGCACGUCAAUUCCAGGAAGAACUCCUCUAUAAAGAUUGAAACGAGGGUCGCUCUGUGACGAAGACGCCAGUUCGAUUCUGGCCGGGAUCG